RNAcentral lists this long non-coding RNA (1645 nucleotides) under Pogona vitticeps (central bearded dragon). Its description in RNAcentral is "lncRNA (ENSPVIG00000017683.1)". Lineage: Eukaryota; Metazoa; Chordata; Lepidosauria; Squamata; Agamidae. The record is from RNAcentral.
CACCCCCCACUUGAGAUAAUGGUACAUUCCAGGCGUAGGAGCAUAGAGGAAGUAGCCUUUUCAAGUGUGGAGGGUUUGUUUGACAAUGUGCAGUUUGUUUGCUGAGGGAACAAGUCUGACUUGCUUGAGAUAAUUAUGCCCUGUACAAAAACAUGCGGAAAGUAACACCGCAUGACUGAGCACUUUAGCCCUAGACAAGACUGCAACUUCUUUCUGUAAGCUUCCGGGGUUGUAAUGCCGCUGGCAACAGUUUCGAAAGAGAUUCCCCUUGUUCUGUUUGUUUAUUUAUUUAUUUAUUUAUUCAAUUUAUACCCCGCGCAUCUAGACUGAAGUCUACUCUGGGCGGCUUUUCUUAUUGCUUUUCUUUGAGAAAAGCUGGUAUGCAGGCAAACUAAAAGAUCUGGCAGGUGCUCCUAAACAUUUGCCUUUCCUGUGAAGAAGGGGAGCUCUCUCCUUGUUUCGAUGAGUAUGGCCCUCCCUUGUUCCUCCUGCUGCUGCUGCUGUCCCUGGAUCUCAUUUCCUUCGAGAGAGCUCACAUUAACAAAGAGAAACCCCUCAAAAUGAAACGGGUCAACAUGCCUAAGAUUGACACCCUGUUCACCAACAUUGCAGAGACAUUUAACAAGCAGCAAGGUGAUUGCUUGGCUCUCCGGGAAGCCAUCCAGGGCCUGAAAGAGACCUUUUGCUGCUCACCUGCAAGCAGUCUGUCUGUAUGCAUAGAGAAGAUACAGCAGGAGCACCGUGCUUGCAAUGUGCAGGUGCAGAUGGAGGGAUACAGAUUCUGGCUGGCCAUGAGAGAGAAGGACGUUCCUGAGAAACUGAAGUGGGCUCAGCAGCAGGUGGGGGAACUGAACCGUGCCACCUUAGGAGUCAUCAGUGUAGAAACUAAACUCCAGGAAAUGAUCCAGUCUGUGCUUCAAAGCCAGGACAAGUUGAUGGAGAAAGUAAAAGCUGCAAAUCCUGAAUACCUAGACCAGAUCCGGGUCGAGGGAAACCUGCAAGAAAACAUACAGGAAAUGUGUUUGGCUCAACAGUUCUUGAAGCAGUAUACAGAAGAAGCCAAAAAUGUCCUUAAAGAAAUGUCCAACUCAGUAGGUUUUACCUUGUAAAAAGGGAUGAAGAUGAACAUGUUUUAAGGGUGCUUUCUACAGUGAUGAAUUAAGGCACUAGUGACAGAAGGCUCUUUAGGUUAUAGUUUUACUGCACAGAUUACACAGAAAUUGAACCUGACUGUAAGAUUUCUGUAAGUGUAAAGUGAUACAACCACAUGCCGGAAAAGUAGACAAAUUAUUAUCAUGUGACAAAUAGACUUCAGUGGUCUAUAAGUGGCAAGAAUUCAGUGCUAUUGCUAUUAGGUGGCUGCCAUUUUUCUCUUUAUACUGUAUCUGUCUUUAAAAUGAAGAAGAUAGCUACAGACUUUGUUUUCCUCUGAAUUCUUCUGAAUUCAUAAAGGACAGCCAACCCUAUCUUACUGGGCCAAUGAGAACACUCGCCAGAGUGCCAGCUUGGAAAAGGAGUAGUUUGUGCCCAGGAGGUGUGAUAAAAAGAAGUUUGUUCUCAUUGUUAUCUUGAGUCUAAUUCAGCAUCUCAUUUCUAAAAACAUGUCUGGGUAAGACAGGCCAAAUAAAAGCUUGAACAUAAUGCA